AUUGAACGCUGGCGGCAUGCCUUACACAUGCAAGUCGAACGGCAGCACUGGAGCAAUCCUGGUGGCGAGUGGCGAACGGGUGAGUAAUAUAUCGGAACGUGCCCAGUCGUGGGGGAUAACGCAGCGAAAGCUGUGCUAAUACCGCAUACGAUCUAUGGAUGAAAGCGGGGGAUCGCAAGGCCUCGCGCGAUUGGAGCGGCCGAUAUCAGAUUAGCUAGUUGGUGAGGUAAAGGCUCACCAAGGCGACGAUCUGUAGCUGGUCUGAGAGGACGACCAGCCACACUGGAACUGAGACACGGUCCAGACUCCUACGGGAGGCAGCGGUGGGGAAUUUUGGACAAUGGGCGAAAGCCUGAUCCAGCAAUGCCGCGUGCAGGAUGAAGGCCUUCGGGUUGUAAACUGCUUUUGUACGGAACGAAACGGUGAGCUCUAAUACAGUUUGCUAAUGACGGUACCGUAAGAAUAAGCACCGGCUAACUACGUGCCAGCCGCCGCUGUAA
RNAcentral lists this ribosomal RNA (500 nucleotides) under uncultured bacterium. Its description in RNAcentral is "partial 16S ribosomal RNA". It matches the Rfam family "Bacterial small subunit ribosomal RNA", at positions 30 to 523 of the family's 1533-position model. The record is from RNAcentral.